GCCGGGUGUGGUGGCUCACGCCUGUAAUCCCAGUACUUUGGGAGGCUGAGGCGGGUGGAUCACCUGAGGUCAGGAGUUCAAGACCAGCCUGACCAACAUGGUGAAACCCGGUCUCUA
Unclassified non-coding RNA from Macaca fascicularis (crab-eating macaque), 117 nucleotides. It matches the Rfam family "Metazoan signal recognition particle RNA". From Rfam's summary of the family: The signal recognition particle (SRP) is a universally conserved ribonucleoprotein. It is involved in the co-translational targeting of proteins to membranes. The record is from Ensembl. NCBI's taxonomy places the organism in Eukaryota, Metazoa, Chordata, Mammalia, Primates, Cercopithecidae.